AUUGAACGCUGGCGGCAGGCCUAACACAUGCAAGUCGAGCGGUAGAGAGGUGCUUGCAUCUCUUGAGAGCGGCGGACGGGUGAGUAAUGCCUAGGAAUCUGGCCUGGUGGUGGGGGAUAAACGUUCGGAAACGGACGCUAAUACCGCAUACGUCCUACGGGAGAAAGCGGGGGAUCUUCGGGACCUCGCGCCAUUAGAUGAGCCUAGGUCGGAUUAGCUAGUUGGUGAGGUAAUGGCUCGACCAAGGCGACGAUCCGUAACUGGUCUGAGAGGAUGAUCAGUCACACUGGAACUGAGACACGGUCCAGGA
This 310-nucleotide ribosomal RNA is filed under the name uncultured bacterium. RNAcentral's name for it is "bacterial SSU rRNA". It matches the Rfam family "Bacterial small subunit ribosomal RNA", at positions 30 to 336 of the family's 1533-position model. The record is from RNAcentral.